Molecule: ribosomal RNA, 1521 nt
Filed under: uncultured bacterium
Lineage: Bacteria
Description: bacterial SSU rRNA
Rfam family: Bacterial small subunit ribosomal RNA
Source: RNAcentral
ACGCUGGCGGCAUGCCUAACACAUGCAAGUCGAACGGUAACAGGUCUUCGGAUGCUGACGAGUGGCGGACGGGUGAGUAACGCGUAGGAAUCUGUCUUUGAGUGGGGGACAACCCAGGGAAACUUGGGCUAAUACCGCAUAAGCCCUGAGGGGGAAAGCGGGGGAUCUUCGGACCUCGCGCUGGAAGAGGAGCCUACGUCUGAUUAGCUAGUUGGUAGGGUAAAGGCCUACCAAGGCGACGAUCGGUAGCUGGUCUGAGAGGACGACCAGCCACACUGGGACUGAGACACGGCCCAGACUCCUACGGGAGGCAGCAGUGGGGAAUUUCUCGCAAUGGGGCAACCCUGACGAAGCAAAUGCCGCGUGAAUGAAGAAGGCCUUCGGGUUGUAAAGUUCUUUCGUGGAGGACGAAGGUUCUUUCGUUGGAGGACGAAAAGGUGGGUGCUAAUAUCGCCUGCUGUUGAACGUGAAUCCAAGAAGAAGCACCCGGCUAACUCCGUGCCAGCAGCCGCSGUAAUACGGGGGGUGCAAGCGUUAAUCGGACGAAUCACUUUGGGCGUAAAGGGUGCGUAGGCGGUGCAUUAGGUCUGUCGUGAAAUCCCGGGCUCAACCUGGGAAUGGCGGUGAGAAACCGGUGUACGAGAGUAUGGGAGAGGGUGGUGGAAUUCCAGGUGUAGCGGUGAAUGCGUAGAGAUCUGGAGGAACAUCAGUGGCGAAGGCGGCCACCUGGCCCAAUACUGACGCUGAGGCACGAAAGCGUGGGGAGCAAACAGGAUUAGAUACCCUGGUAGUCCACGCGCCUAAACGAUGAAUACUAGAUGUUUGGUGCCAAGCGUACUGAGUGUCGUAGCUAACGCGAUAAGUAUUCCGCCUGGGAAGUACGGGCGCCGCAAGGUUAAAACUCAAAGGAAUUGACGGGGGGGCCCGCACAAGCGGUGGAGCAUGUGGUUUAAUUCGAUGCAACGCGAAGGAACCUUACCUGGGGCUUGACAUGUCUGGAAUCCUGCAGAGAUGCGAGUGCCCUUCGGGGAAUCAGACACAGGUGCUGCAUGGGGGGCUGUCGUCAGCUCGUGUCGUGAGAUGUUGGGUUAAGUCCCGCAACGAGCGCAACCCUUGUCCUUUUAGGUUGCCAGCGGUUCGGCCGGGCACUCUAGGGAGACUGCCAAGGUGACAAACCGGAAAGGAAGGUGGGGAUGACGUCAAGUCCUCAUGGCCUUUAUGUCCAGGGCUACACACGUGCUACAAUGGCGCGUACAGAAGGGAGCCAAGCCGCCGAGGUGGAGCAGACCCCAGAUAGCGCGUCGUAGUUCGGAUUGCAGUCUGCAACUCGACUGCAUGAAAUCGGAAUCGCUAGUAAUCGCGGAUCAGCAUGCCGCGGUGAAUACGUUUCCCGGGCCUUGUACACACCGCCCGUCACACCAUGGGAGUGGAUUGUACCAGAAGCCGUUACCCCGCCUAACCUUCGGAAGGCGAUGACCACGGUAUGGUUCAUGACUGGGGUGAAGUCGUAACAAGGUAGCC